UUUUGGAAGCGCCGUCGCGGCCUCCUCCGCCUCCCAUCUGUAAACAUGAUAGGGAGGGAGGAGGGGGAACGCGGGCGUGGAUAUAGAUAUCGUAUUCUGUACGACUCUCGGCAACGGAUAUCUAGGCUCUCGCAUCGAUGAAGAACGUAGCGAAAUGCGAUACUUGGUGUGAAUUGCAGAAUCCCGUGAACCAUCGAGUCUUUGAACGCAAGUUGCGCCCGAGGCCAUCCGGUCGAGGGCACGCCUGCCUGGGCGUCACGCCUCCCGUCGCUCCCCACAGCCGUGCGGAUGCGGAGAUUGGCCCACCGUGCUUCGUGCGCGGCGGGUCGAAGUGCGGGCCGUCGUUGGGCAAGGCGCGGCGAAUGGUGGACGAAUACAUCGUUGUUUGUGCCUACUCUCCGUGUCCCUUCCCUAAACAAUGCGACGUGUCGUCGUCGGACCCCUCACCAAGGACCCUGUCUGCUUUCGAAUAAAAAGAAGGAAUCGUCCUCGGAACG
RNAcentral lists this unclassified non-coding RNA (497 nucleotides) under Crocus etruscus. RNAcentral describes it as "contains 5' external transcribed spacer, ETS". The stretch from base 103 to 258 matches the Rfam family "5.8S ribosomal RNA". Lineage: Eukaryota; Viridiplantae; Streptophyta; Magnoliopsida; Asparagales; Iridaceae. The record is from RNAcentral.